Molecule: ribosomal RNA, 496 nt
Filed under: uncultured bacterium
Lineage: Bacteria
Description: partial 16S ribosomal RNA
Rfam family: Bacterial small subunit ribosomal RNA
Source: RNAcentral
AUGAACGCUGGCGGCGUGCCUAAUACAUGCAAGUCGAGCGAACGGACGAGAAGCUUGCUUCUCUGAUGUUAGCGGCGGACGGGUGAGUAACACGUGGAUAACCUACCUAUAAGACUGGGAUAACUUCGGGAAACCGGAGCUAAUACCGGAUAAUAUUUUGAACCGCAUGGUUCAAAAGUGAAAGACGGUCUUGCUGUCACUUAUAGAUGGAUCCGCGCUGCAUUAGCUAGUUGGUAAGGUAACGGCUUACCAAGGCAACGAUGCAUAGCCGACCUGAGAGGGUGAUCGGCCACACUGGAACUGAGACACGGUCCAGACUCCUACGGGAGGCAGCAGUAGGGAAUCUUCCGCAAAGGGCGAAAGCCUGACGGAGCAACGCCGCGUGAGUGAUGAAGGUCUUCGGAUCGUAAAGCUCUGUUAUUAGGGAAGAACAGAUGUGUAAGUAACUGUGCACAUCUUGACGGUACCUAAUCAGAAAGCCACGGCUAACUACGUG